RNAcentral lists this ribosomal RNA (114 nucleotides) under Mesoflavibacter sp. The record is from RNAcentral. Lineage: Bacteria; Pseudomonadati; Bacteroidota; Flavobacteriia; Flavobacteriales; Flavobacteriaceae. RNAcentral also lists the same sequence under 1 other name.
GGUGGCAAUGGCAGAGAGGCCACACCCGUUCCCAUCUCGAACACGGAAGUUAAGAUCUCUAGCGCCGAUGGUACUGCAGGGGCAGCCCUGUGGGAGAGUAGGACGCCGCCGGAU